Molecule: ribosomal RNA, 373 nt
Filed under: uncultured bacterium
Lineage: Bacteria
Description: bacterial SSU rRNA
Rfam family: Bacterial small subunit ribosomal RNA
Source: RNAcentral
GGGGGGGGCAAGUGUUGUUCGGAAUUACUGGGCGUAAAGGGCGCGUAGGCGGUUUGUUAAGUUGGAUGUGAAAACUCUGGGCUUAACCCAGAGCCUGCAUCCAAAACUGGCAGGCUGGAGUUUUGGAGGGGGAAGCGGAAUUCCUGGUGUAGCAGUGAAAUGCGUAGAUAUCAGGAGGAACACCGGUGGCGAAGGCGGCUUCCUGGACAAAAACUGACGCUGAGGCGCGAAAGCUAGGGGAGCAAACAGGAUUAGAUACCCUGGUAGUCCUAGCCCUAAACGAUGGAUACUUGCUGUGAGGGGGAUUGAAUCCCUUCGUGGCGAAGCUAACGCAUUAAGUAUCCCGCCUGGGGAGUACGGUCGCAAGGCUGAA